UGAAGACUGUACUCAACAAAACUGGUUUUCUUUUUUGGGUGAAUGAGGCUACGUAAAGGGUGUUCGGAAAGAAUCUUUUAGAAAAAACAAAACAUUGGUUUCCCACAUUCCUUUCUGGGAACCCUGAUAUGAUACUGACACGUAGGCCUAUAACUGGUAUAAAAACAGAAGCCGCAACCCUCUUUUAGCAUUUAGUCCGGGUGCCUUGAAGAAAUGGAUUCAGAUGAUUGAAAAGUACAUGAGUUUGCGCCCCAGAAGUGGAAAAUGCAAUGCAUUUUAUCUCAGAUCAAAAAUCGCUCCUAAGGGGAAUGUAUGGUACGACGUCCCAGUCGGGGUACAUCAACUGCAAUAGAUUGUGGCCAAAAUGUUAAAGAGGCAGGAUUACAAAUCUCUCUUCGGGCUACUGCCGCUACACGCCUAUAUGCUGCGGGUGUUGAUGAGCAACUUAUAGCGGGAAAAAGUGGUUACAUGUCAUCUGUGAUUCGCAACUACAAACGCACCUCCGAGGAACAAUUACAGUCAGAAACCGCCCAGUGUCCCCGCCGGAGCCGAAGAAAGUGAAGCUCAAUGAAAGUGUUUCCUAUGGAUCAGAAAAGGAAAUAAACAUCACUGCCGGGGAUGUAACAGUGAAUUUGCGAUUUUAAUGUGCAUGUGUUUAAAUGAAUGAUUGUGACAUGGAUUUAUAACUGUGGUGCCUGAACGAUUUCAUACACGGUAAAAUCGGAUUAUACAUGAAAUACUCAUUUCGUAUAAUUUACUGGAAUAUUGUAUUUGUAUAAUAAAUGUUUUCUCGUACAACGA
Long non-coding RNA from Ostrea edulis (European flat oyster), 801 nucleotides. RefSeq lists it as uncharacterized. The transcript is spliced from 2 exons. NCBI's taxonomy places the organism in Eukaryota, Metazoa, Mollusca, Bivalvia, Ostreida, Ostreidae. The record is from RefSeq and is a predicted model, not a curated record.